Molecule: long non-coding RNA, 1124 nt
Filed under: Zonotrichia albicollis (white-throated sparrow)
Lineage: Eukaryota; Metazoa; Chordata; Aves; Passeriformes; Passerellidae
Description: lncRNA (ENSZALG00000003519.1)
Source: RNAcentral
GAAGCUUCAGCACUGUGUGAAGUCAACUGUGAGAAAAAUAGCUUAGGAGUGAUUUUAUCAUUCUGUGCUAGAAAGUGAUGUAAGAAACCACAGAAAUCUGCUAGGCUGAUUCUUGAGCGUGCAAUGGGAUUCUUUCAUCUGGUUUCACUUGUAAAUGAGAGUUUUAUGUAAAUGUUAGAAAAUCAUAAUUAUGACAUAGACUUUUCAGAGAAUUUGUACUUCCAGAUGUAAUGGAGAUGUGGGAGCAAUCUGGGAACAGAGAAUUGUUUGAAAGAGACGUCUCUGACUUCACCCCUUUUGAGGUUUUGCUCACUCAGAGCCUGUCCCUGGUGCAGUGAUCCAGUGUCAGGCUGAGCUCUGUGCUAGUCCAUACAGGUAUUCUAUCAACUGGGAUGUAAUGGUGCCACAUUUUUCCAUUUUUGCUACAUGUUGUUCUUCCUGCCCUUGUGUGGGUUAUGUUGUCCUGGCAGAGACUGACAUUAACACUGACCUCAUUAACAUUCUUUAUUUCUUUUUUAGAUAACUGAAAUUUCACAUUACAGCAAGAUGGAGGCGAGGGGGAGGAAAAGUCAGCUGUUUUCCAUGCCACGAGGCAGGAUUUGAAACCAGCUUGUGAUUGCUGCUGUCAGGGGACCCUGUAGCAUCCUCCCUGCAGUGGAUGGGCUUGUGCAUCUCCAGCUGUGGUUGCCAGCCUGGACAAGCCCCAGCUGACCUCGGGCAAGUCCACACAAUUUGAUUCACAGUUCUCACGCCUCAGCUCGACCAAACCCAUACCCUGACCUUGUAGCUGCGGGCAAGAUCAAAAUUCCUUAGCAGCGGUUGUUUGUUCACUCCCAUGAGUCAGCGAUGAGGAGGAUAAGGGAAGGUGCGCUCCCGGUCGGAGCCCUGCCACCGCGGCUGCUGUGGCUGCUGCCACCAGAGGACACUCUUGGAUAGCCUAUGGAUCCUUCCCGGCAGGAAAGCAUCGCUUCCCCCUCAGAUAUCUUUGUAAACAUGUGCAAUGUACAGAGAAGGAGAGACCAGGGCCUCAUGGCUGGGAUCUGGGGCAGAGGAGCAGGAGGACACCAGGGAUCUGCUUUCAUGGAGAUUUGGUAACAGAUCCUGCCUUUCAGGAUGAUUCCCAC